AUGCAGCUGGUCACCUGCGGUCGGACCGCGGUUAACAUUAACGGCGAGAUCGGGCCAUACUUCCCCACCCUUUGUGGGGUUCGCCAGGGCGACCCGUUCUCCCCGUUUCUGUUUAACAUGGUGGUUGAUGCCCUUUCCGUCAUCCUGGAUAAGGCCAAAUCUGCUGGCCAUAUCCAUGGCAUAGUCCCUCACCUGAUAGGAGGGGGAGGGGUCUCCCUCCUACAAUAUGCUAACGAUACCAUAAUAAUGGUGGAGGGCUCCGCGUCCGACAUCGCUAACCUAAAGUUCCUCCUCCUAUGCUUCCAACAGAUGUCCGGGUUCACAAUCAACUUCGAUAAGAGCGAAGUGAUGAUUCUGGGCUAUACUCCCCUGAGGAGGCCCAAGCCAUCGCCGACCGACUGA
RNAcentral lists this ribosomal RNA (402 nucleotides) under Triticum aestivum (bread wheat). Its description in RNAcentral is "partial small subunit ribosomal RNA". The record is from RNAcentral. Lineage: Eukaryota; Viridiplantae; Streptophyta; Magnoliopsida; Poales; Poaceae.